RNAcentral lists this ribosomal RNA (193 nucleotides) under uncultured bacterium. RNAcentral describes it as "partial 16S ribosomal RNA". It matches the Rfam family "Bacterial small subunit ribosomal RNA", at positions 307 to 526 of the family's 1533-position model. The record is from RNAcentral.
GCCUCCCUCGCCGCCAUCAGACUCCUACGGGGGCAGGCAGUGGGGAAUAUUGGACAAUGGGCGCAAGCCUGAUCCAGCCAUGCCGCGUGAGUGAUGACGGCCUUAGGGUUGUAAAGCUCUUUCGCUAGGGACGAUAAUGACGGUACCUAGACAAGAAGCCCGGCUAACUUCGUGCCAGCCGCCGCGGUAAUUC